This 329-nucleotide ribosomal RNA is filed under the name uncultured eukaryote. RNAcentral's name for it is "partial 18S ribosomal RNA". It matches the Rfam family "Eukaryotic small subunit ribosomal RNA", at positions 1470 to 1796 of the family's 1831-position model. The record is from RNAcentral.
CCCUUAGAUGUUCUGGGCCGCACGCGCGCUACACUGAUGCAUUCAACGAGUCUAAAACCUGCUCUGAUAGGGGUGGGUAAUCUUUUGAAUGUGCAUCGUGAUUAGGAUAGAUGAUUGAAAUUUUUCAUCUUCAACGAGGAAUGCCUAGUAAACGCAAGUCAUCAGCUUGCAUUGAUUACGUCCCUGCCCUUUGUACACACCGCCCGUCGCUCCUACCGAUUGAAUGAUCCGAUGAAUAUCAUGGAUUGAGGAUGCAAGUAGGUUCACCUAUCUUCAUCUUCGAGAAGUGAAGUAAAUCUUAUCAUUUAGAGGAAGGAGAAGUCGUAACA